Molecule: transfer RNA, 72 nt
Filed under: Candidatus Endomicrobiellum cubanum
Lineage: Bacteria; Pseudomonadati; Elusimicrobiota; Endomicrobiia; Endomicrobiales; Endomicrobiaceae
Description: tRNA-Cys
Rfam family: tRNA
About the family: Transfer RNA (tRNA) molecules are approximately 80 nucleotides in length. Their secondary structure includes four short double-helical elements and three loops (D, anti-codon, and T loops).
Source: RNAcentral
GGUGCGGUACCCAAGCGGUAAGGGAGCAGUCUGCAAAACUGUUAUUCGUCGGUUCGAUUCCGGCCCGCACCU